ACUAAAUGUAAUCCAAAUCCAUUUUAGCAUUUUAAACGAUACUGAUCGUAUAAGUUUAAAAUAUUGAGUUCAGUAAAAUAACAUUUGACACGUGAAUCGAACCCACAACAUAUAUGUAUAGAUAUGAGAAUUGUUUUUGCACCCAAAAUUAUCAUAUCGGCCACCAGAAUACUCCUGCUUAACGUAAUCCUGCAAUCAACGACUUAAAGAUCAUCCAUGACUGAAGUAUAAUAGGAGAGUAUACUUUUUACCCGACUGCGCCAGAAGGAGGGUUAUGUUUUUCGAGUGUAUGUAUGUAUGUAUGUAUGUAUGUAUGUAUGUAUAAUUGUUUGGCACGCUCUGCAGCCUAAACGGCUUGAUGGAUUUUGGCUUGAGAGGUGUCGUUGGAUUCGUAUUUACUGUGAGAGUGACACUGGAUAUAUCAAAAUAAUAAAAAAACAAAAUGGCGGAUUUUUGGCGCCAAAUUCGAAUAUUUCUCACUCUCUAGCCUAAACGGCUUGAUGGAUUUUGACUUGAGAGGUGUCGUUAGAUUCGUAUUUACUGUGAGAGUGACACUGGAUAUAUCAAAAUAAUAAAAAAACAAAAUGGCGGAUUUUUGGCGCCAAAUUUGAAUAUUUCUCACUCUCUAGCCUGAACGACUCGAUGGAUUUCCGCUUGAUAGGGGUCGUUUGAUUCGUAUUUACUGUGAGAGUGACACUA
Molecule: long non-coding RNA, 699 nt
Organism: Spodoptera frugiperda (fall armyworm)
Lineage: Eukaryota; Metazoa; Arthropoda; Insecta; Lepidoptera; Noctuidae
Exons: 2
Source: RefSeq, a predicted model, not a curated record